Long non-coding RNA from Lontra canadensis (Northern American river otter), 2052 nucleotides. RefSeq lists it as uncharacterized. Lineage: Eukaryota; Metazoa; Chordata; Mammalia; Carnivora; Mustelidae. The transcript is spliced from 4 exons. The record is from RefSeq and is a predicted model, not a curated record.
AGCCCUUAGUACUAUAAAGUUUCUAUUCAAUGGGUAUUUAAACUUAGUAGUGAUGGAGGCAGAUACAGGUGUCUAGGUAAGUUACCCUACUGUUCCACCCCACAUUAUUGUCCAUGAGAUCCCUACAGAUACUCAAGAAGGCGAUGUCUCUCAUAAUGGUGUUAAUCUUGAAGUUCUGCCAAUAUCCAGGUAGUGAUGAUAGUUUCCAAUAAUGGCAGUAACCAAAAUUAUUUGUAAGUAUCUUUUUUCCCCCCCAGGUAAAGUAAGCUGUGUCCUUCAACACACUUGUUGUAUUUUUUAAGGUUCCAGCCAUUAUGACAUCACAGUGAAACAAAUGACGGUCCUUGAUGGGACCUUGCCAGUAACCAGGUAUGUGAUAGACUGGUUUUACCAAAACAUAGAUCCAGCUGACCUUUGGGUAUUUAGGUGAGUGAGGAUGGUGUCCCUAACACAGUGUUACUAUGCUUUUUGCUGGGAUCCCAUUAAGUUCUUUGCUAGUAUAAAAAUAUGAGAUGAUGUGAUAAUAAAUUAUUAGAGAUUUUUUAUCUUCAGAUAUAUAAGCAAUUAAUGUUUCCUAGACCUUUAUAUUAAUCUUCUUGGCAUACAGACUGUUCAGAAAUCAAUUUGUCCCUGACAAUACUAGCCUGAGCUUUUACUGUCUCCUUGUUCAGAGAUAACAUGUGUUUAUACGCCCAUACCAAUAGACCUAUAUAGUCCGUUAUCCAGGUAAUUUAUCAUAUGUUCCAUAUUUGUGAUAAUGACUGUGGUAUCUUUGCAGGUAUCCCCUCAAGAGAUGAAGAUAAAUCUAACUACAAUUUAACCUUUUGAGUUCUACAUAUUGCCCAGUAAUGUGGAAAGGGGCCACAAAAUAAUGUGCUGACCAAGAGAACUUGCAGUUACCCAGGUCGAAUAAAAUGUGUGUGGAACAAGUUUUCUAUGCUGUGUUUUCAGGUUCAUGUUAAGACAUCAGUCACAGUACAGGAAGCGCACAGCAGGUACGGAGGUAAGUGAGGAUGACCCACAGCACAGACCAUCUGAUCCUGUAUGUAAUGUAGGUAAGGGAUGGUGUCUAAUACCUCUCGUUACUAUGAUUUCGUUGCAGGUAUCCAGGGAAGAAAUGAUAGUCCUUACCAAAUCUAGUGACCAUGACUUUACACUUUUUACAUUUUAGAGAGAACAUGUUUAACCCUGUGAGUGUUGAGAGUUGACCGUAUCCGUAAUUGUCAAGUUCCCACCCCAGUCGUGACUACAGUGUUUCUGCAGGAAUCCAGUUAAGACACAAUGGCUUUCUUCUGACCAAGGUGUUGACCUGAAUUAAUGCAAGUGUCAGGGUAGAAUCAGUGUGUUAUGUGUUCCGUAAUAAUGGAAGUGAAAAGGAUUAUUAGCAGGUGUGCUGGUAGAAGAAGUCGUGUCCUUAAACACACUUUUCCUGUGUGUUUCUUCAGUUUCCUUUCAAGAAAACAUAGCCUAACAAUGGUUGUUAACAGAACCUUGCCCUUGACCAGGUACAUGAUAAAGUGAAUCUGGUCUCAUUGCAAACCAUCUGAUCUUCAGCAUGAAGCAGGUAUCCUUUCAAGAGAAGUAGAUGUCCCUUCCCAGCAUUUGACCUUGGAGUUCUGUAAGUCAAAGUAUCCAGGUUAAUAUCAAGACCUCACAGUGAGUUUAUCAGGGAUAGUGUGGGACACUGCUGGUAUGGGGCGUCUUUCCAGUUAAGAAGUCAUGGUGAACCUAACACUGCUUAUCACCGGGAAUGUUCCUGGUGUGCAGGUAAGUGAUGAUGUGGGCCUCGCCCAGGCCUUCCACUCUCCAUAUAGCUGGCUAGGUGAUUACAUUUGUAAUCAGUUGUUACCAUUUUUCUUUGCAGGUAUUCAGGUAGGAGAUGAUAGUCCUUAUCAGUUCUAGAAACCAUGUGCUUUUUUUUUCUUUUUACAUUUUAGAGAAACUUUUAUGUUAUCCCAGUGAGUAAUGAGAGAUUGCCACAUUCAGGUAAUUACCAUAAUCUUCCUAACCCUAGCAGUAGCCAUGGAAAGUCUGCAGGUGUUUCAUAAUGAA